This is a non-coding RNA of Penaeus vannamei (Pacific white shrimp), 248 nucleotides long. The record is from RefSeq and is a predicted model, not a curated record. Lineage: Eukaryota; Metazoa; Arthropoda; Malacostraca; Decapoda; Penaeidae.
GGUCAAGCGAGGUCAGACAGAAGACCAUGUUCCUCCGACUCUUGAACCCAAGACCGCCGUGUCGAUCCUGAUCUCUGCCGACUUCCUGAAGAUGGCGCCGCUGGUGGAGGAGGUCCUGCAGUACGUCCACGACAACAUCAACCUUAUCCUCGAGGCUCAAGUCAAUCUUAGUUGCCUCUCUGAUGCCAUCCUUACAAGACUAGCCUAUCUGUUCACUCACUGGGAGUUGGAAAGUCUACGUGACCGGC